AGGCCACCAAGCCAUUGUUGGAAAAGACAGCUAAUUAAGAAAGGGCAUGCUGUGGUGGAGACGACUUAUUUAAGCCGAUUCUCUUCUCCCAUCUUUCCCAGAGAAACUGUCCAGACCUGGUGUAAAUUGAAGAAAACCACCUGGCACCAGCAGGAACAGAGACCAAGGGAUUUCUCUUUAGAGAUCAUGGAUGGACUUGAGUCCAGGAGCCCAAGGGAGAGUGGGCAGAAGUCGGAGAGCCCAGAGGCUGUCCCACUGACUCCUGUGCGAUGUCUAUUCUAAGGGGGAUGAAUGAUGCAGGUGAAUAAACGGAGGCUCAGAGGGGUAAUGAAAUUUGCCAACAGUCACCAACCAGUGACAGAACGGGAACUCAAACCCAAGGAGGGAGUCUAUAACCACUUGACCAUACUGCCUUUCAGUUCCGGGAACAGGGGAUGCUUCCCAGCCUAAGAUUCUAAAGCAGCGGGAGUUCCUAGCCGGAGACAUGAUCUGAGUGCCAAUGUCUGAAUGCCUGUGAGCAUUUCAAGUUGUUUCAAGAAAAGGCGACGUUAGCGGCACCACUAAAGCCUGCUGUUCCGCAUCCCAUCACUGCCAUCCCCAUCUAUUAAAAUAAUGGUAUGAAAAAUAAACAGGCUUUAUGGACAGUUUUACA
Long non-coding RNA from Globicephala melas (long-finned pilot whale), 652 nucleotides. RefSeq lists it as uncharacterized. The record is from RefSeq and is a predicted model, not a curated record. Lineage: Eukaryota; Metazoa; Chordata; Mammalia; Artiodactyla; Delphinidae.